UGGGGAAUUUUGGACAAUGGGCGAAAGCCUGAUCCAGCAAUGCCGCGUGUGUGAAGAAGGCCUUCGGGUUGUAAAGCACUUUUGUCCGGAAAGAAAUGGCUCUGGUUAAUACCUGGGGUCGAUGACGGUACCGGAAGAAUAAGGACCGGCUAACUACGUGCCAGCAGCCGCGGUAAUACGUAGGGUCCAAGCGUUAAUCGGAAUUACUGGGCGUAAAGCGUGCGUAGGCGGUUGUGCAAGACCGAUGUGAAAUCCCCGAGCUUAACUUGGGAAUUGCAUUGGUGACUGCACGGCUAGAGUGUGUCAGAGGGGGGUAGAAUUCCACGUGUAGCAGUGAAAUGCGUAGAGAUGUGGAGGAAUACCGAUGGCGAAGGCAGCCCCCUGGGAUAACACUGACGCUCAUGCACGAAAGCGUGGGGAGCAAACAGGAUUAGAUACCCUGGUAGUCCACGCCCUAAACGAUGUCAACUAGUUGUUGGGGAUUCAUUUCCUUAGUAACGUAGCUAACGCGUGAAGUUGACCGCCUGGGGAGUACGGUCG
This 540-nucleotide ribosomal RNA is filed under the name uncultured bacterium. RNAcentral describes it as "partial 16S ribosomal RNA". It matches the Rfam family "Bacterial small subunit ribosomal RNA", at positions 355 to 888 of the family's 1533-position model. The record is from RNAcentral.